RNAcentral lists this ribosomal RNA (253 nucleotides) under uncultured bacterium. Its description in RNAcentral is "partial 16S ribosomal RNA". It matches the Rfam family "Bacterial small subunit ribosomal RNA", at positions 524 to 776 of the family's 1533-position model. The record is from RNAcentral.
UACAGAGGUCCCGAGCGUUGUUCGGAAUCACUGGGCGUAAAGGGAGCGUAGGCGGGUUCUUAAGUAAGGUGUUUAAUCCCGGGGCCCAACCCCGGACCGGCACUUUAAACUGGGAAUCUUGAAUAGUGGAGAGGUCGGUGGAAUUGGGGGUGUAGCGGUGGAAUGCGUAGAGAUCUGCAAGAAUACCCGUGGCGAAGGCGGCCAGCUGGGCCGGAUCCGACGCUGAGGCGCGAAAGCGUGGGGAGCAAACAGG